AGCUGACACACUGACGAGCUGCUGGAAGCCUUUUUUCCACACUGUUCCACUCAACUUUUUACCUCCACUAGAGGGCCACAUUAUCAAGCAGGCGCUGCACUACUUCUGCACUGUGUUCAACCAUCUGUCAAUAAUAACUGCUGCUGUGAAGAGAACCAUUCUCACUCUGAAUGCUGAACAUCAGCUACUUUCUCCUCUUCAUUUCAGCCUCGUUGUACACAUGGAACAUUGGCUGUGGAUUAUUCUUGCUGCUCUUUGCUUUGAGUGUAAAGGAGAAGACAGAGUGAUCCAGCCAACAGCAGAUGUCAUUGCUACUGAAGGAGACACAGUUACACUGGACUGUACAUUUGAGAGCAGCAACCCAAGUUCCUAUCUGUUCUGGUACAAACAGGAUGGAAACAACAGCCCCAAAUUCAUACUGAGUCGCGUUAAACGGGAUCAAGGGAACACACCAGACGAGUCCAAGGAGAGAUUUUCAUCCACACUGAAUUCCACCCUAAAAUCAGUUCCUCUGAAGAUCCAGAAGCUUCAGCUGUCUGACUCUGCUGUGUACUACUGUGCUCUGCAGCCCACAGUGACAGGAAACAGCAAAACUCUGCACAAAAACCUCUGCAGCAAACACAACACAAUACUCCACAACGUCCACUAGAGGGAGUCACACACUGCUCAACUUCAGUGGGAUGUGAUGGUCGUGUAGAUUCUUGC
Chelmon rostratus (copperband butterflyfish) is the source of this 705-nucleotide non-coding RNA. Lineage: Eukaryota; Metazoa; Chordata; Actinopteri; Chaetodontiformes; Chaetodontidae. The record is from the annotation of a RefSeq genome assembly.